This 322-nucleotide ribosomal RNA is filed under the name uncultured Kraken. Its description in RNAcentral is "SSU rRNA". The stretch from base 105 to 322 matches the Rfam family "Eukaryotic small subunit ribosomal RNA", at positions 737 to 955 of the family's 1831-position model. Lineage: Eukaryota; Cercozoa. The record is from RNAcentral.
GAUUUCUGGUUUGAUAUGCCUGGCCCGCCGCUUUACGCGUGUGUGUGCCGGUGCGUGUCUUCCAUCCUUCUGGAAAACGUGUCUAGCCUUAACUGGUUCGGAUACGCGAUCCAGAUCAUUUACUUUGAAAAAAUUAGAGUGUUUAAAGCAGGCUUUUUGCUAUGAAUACAUUAGCAUGGAAUAAUAAUUUAGGACUUCGGUUCUAUUUUGUUGGUUUCUAGGACUGAAGUAAUGAUUGAUAGGGAUAGUUGGGGGUGCUAGUAUUCAGCGGCCAGAGGUGAAAUUCUCGGAUUCGCUGAAGACUAACUUAUGCGAAAGCAUU